UAGGGAAUCUUCGGCAAUGGACGAAAGCCUGACCGAGCAACGCCGCGUGAGUGAAGAAGGUUUUCGGAUCGUAAAACUCUGUUGUUAGAGAAGAACAAGGACGUUAGUAACUGAACGUCCCCUGACGGUAUCUAACCAGAAAGCCACGGCUAACUACGUGCCAGCAGCCGCGGUAAUACGUAGGUGGCAAGCGUUGUCCGGAUUUAUUGGGCGUAAAGCGAGCGCAGGCGGUUUCUUAAGUCUGAUGUGAAAGCCCCCGGCUCAACCGGGGAGGGUCAUUGGAAACUGGGAGACUUGAAUGCAGAAGGGGAGAGUGGAAUUCCAUGUGUAGCGGUGAAAUGCGUAGAUAUAUGGAGGAACACCAGUGGCGAAGGCGGCUCUCUGGUCUGUAACUGACGCUGAGGCUCGAAAGCGUGGGGAGCGAACAGG
This 429-nucleotide ribosomal RNA is filed under the name Gemmatimonadota bacterium. Its description in RNAcentral is "Gemmatimonadetes bacterium partial 16S ribosomal RNA". It matches the Rfam family "Bacterial small subunit ribosomal RNA", at positions 355 to 776 of the family's 1533-position model. Lineage: Bacteria; Pseudomonadati; Gemmatimonadota. The record is from RNAcentral.